AUAUCAAUAAGCGGAGGAAUAGAAACUAACAAGGAUUCCCCUAGUAACGGCGAGCGAACCGGGAAGAGCUCAAAUUUGAAAUCUGGCUCUAGGCCGAGUUGUAAUUUGUAGAAGAUGCUUCGGGUGUGGCACCGGUCUAAGUUCCUUGGAACAGGACGUCAUAGAGGGUGAGAAUCCCGUACGUGACUGGCCGCCUUCGCCCGUGUGAAGCUCUUUCGACGAGUCGAGUUGUUUGGGAAUGCAGCUCUAAAUGGGAGGUAAAUUUCUUCUAAAGCUAAAUACCGGCCAGAGACCGAUAGCGCACAAGUA
This 309-nucleotide ribosomal RNA is filed under the name uncultured Botryotinia. Its description in RNAcentral is "partial large subunit ribosomal RNA". It matches the Rfam family "Eukaryotic large subunit ribosomal RNA", at positions 40 to 350 of the family's 3401-position model. The record is from RNAcentral. Lineage: Eukaryota; Fungi; Ascomycota; Leotiomycetes; Helotiales; Sclerotiniaceae.